Long non-coding RNA from Oncorhynchus tshawytscha (Chinook salmon), 2040 nucleotides. The record is from Ensembl. NCBI's taxonomy places the organism in Eukaryota, Metazoa, Chordata, Actinopteri, Salmoniformes, Salmonidae.
GUGCGUUGUCCUAUUAAACAAAUUAUGAUUUAAUAAUCAAAGCUCAAUGAUGUCAUCACCUGUGCGUUGUCCUAUUAAACAAAUUUUGAUUUAAUAAUCAAAGCUCGAUGAUUUCAUCACCUGUGUGUUGUCCUAUUAAAUAAAUUAUGGUUUAAUAUAUAUAUUUUAUUUAUUUAACCUUUAUUUAACUAGGCAUGUCAGUUAAGAACAAAUUCAGGGGCAGAACGACAGAUAUUUACCUUGUCAGCUCGGGGAUUCCAUCUAGCAACCUUUCGGUUACUGGCCCAACGAACUAACCACUAGGCUACCUAUUAAACAAAUAUUAAAUCAACCUCAAUUAUAAAAAUAAAAACAACAGGGCUGAGAUUCACAUGGACAAGGCUGCCAUUUACAAUCCUUAUAUGAACACAAUCCAUACAAACAUGCACACUAACAACACAAUCCCUCUUUCUCAUACAGUAGGCUUUUUUGCACUUAAAAUGUUACUGACCAGUGAUCCCUGUGUAUUUGGUGAUGAUGGCAAAAAAUCUUGGGUUGUUCUGACGUGUGAUAACAGAAGAGAAAUGAGAGACUUAAAAGUUGCUGUAGAAAUAUUUCUCCCUCUACAAUGUGUACCUCUAUCUGUGAUCCUCUGCCAGUCGGGAUGGGACCUUGUGGUCUUUAAUGCUAGUGUCUAUUUCAUUGUAUGAUUAUCUGUUCUGCUAAGAUUAACUUCAUUCUCCUGUUAAGCAAUAUAGCAUUCACAUUACUUGGCACCAUUGGCAAAAGAUUCUUGGUAGCCCAAAAAAAAAUGUAAACAUAAACAUACUUGUCUUAAGAUCAUUUUGCAGAUUUCUCCUAACUCUAAAUACGUUAUCUUUUUUAAAAGUUUUUAGCAUUUGCAAUGUCAUGCUUUCGCAAAAUGUUUAUCCCAAGAACAAUCAAAAUAAAAUAAAAUACUCUUAUAGUGAAAUACUUUUAAUAAUUUUACAGAGCAUAGCCACUACUGCUUUUGUUGAGUUUUUUUAACCUUUGUUCAUGUUUUUCAUGCACAUAGCUCAUUUUUGUCCCAGGUAUUUACACUAUAUACAAACAAUACAACCAUACUUCUUAGGCAUUCAAACAAAACUAUACAAAUAUUCUGUUUUUGUCUCAUACCUGUUUUUGACCCCUUUUUAAUGAAUAAAAUAAUAUAUUUCUAAAAUACAAUCCCCUUUGGGUAAAUGUUUUUCCCUACCUUCAGCCUUCUUUAUAUACAGAAACUGCUCAAUUGUCAAAAAUAUGGAUUUGUCUAACCCCUUUUUUGGGACUAGCUUAGGGACCCCUCAAAGAAUCUCUAAGACGUCAAGGCAAUGUAUGUGAUCUUCCCCUCAAAAGCCCUCACAGGCCCUGAAGUUCAUUUAAAAUGUAUGUGAUCUUCCCCUCAAAAGCCCUCACAGGCCCUGAAGUUCAUUUAAAAUGUAUGUGAUCUUCCCCUCAAAAGCCCUCACAGGCCCUGAAGUUCAUUUAAAAUGUAUGUGAUCUUCCCCUCAAAAGCCCUCACAGGCCCUGAAGUUCAUUUAAAAAGAACAACAAUAACCUUCAUGACUGUAAUCAUUACAACACAAAAGAGGCAAGUUUUCUUUUCUUUUUAGAAUAGUGAGGAAACAAAUGAAAUAAGGCGACAGAAAAAGGAAAGAUGAGGAUGUAGGUAUAAUCUCAGGAACUAGAUGGUAUGACUCUUGGGAGAAUAGGUUGGUACAUGGGCCACUCAGUUGCAUUUGAACAUGAAGACAAAAGCAAAACAUUGAAAUUCAGAGAAUACAGACCUAACUUCCAGCACACAGGUGAAGACUUUCACCCAUAGGCAUGCAUAUUUGAUCAAAUCGACAACACAAGAGUUUUGAAGAGACAAGUCAGUUGUAAAUCGGUCAUGGGCAUGAGCACAAAACAGAUUCAAGCAAAGAGGAAUAGAAAAGAGAAUAAAAUAAUAAUAUAAAAAAUAAGAAGAAGAAUUGUAAUUCCAUUGAAUCCCCCUAUCCCUUGCCUUACAGUACAUAACCCCUCCAAACCUAGAUAACA